GUAGGUGGCAAGCGUUGUCCGGAAUUAUUGGGCGUAAAGCGCGCGCAGGCGGUUCUUUAAGGGUCUGAUGUGAAAGCCCACGGGCUCAACCGUGGAGGGUCAUUGGAAACUGGAGAACUUGAGUACAGAAGAGGAAAGCGGAAUUCCACGUGUAGCGGUGAAAUGCGUAGAGAUGUGGAGGAACACCAGUGGCGAGGGCGGCUUUCUGGUCUGUAACUGACGCUGAGGCGCGAAAGCGUGGGGAGCAAACAGGAUUAGAUACCCUGGUAGUCCACGCCGUAAACGAUGAGUGCUAAGUGUUAGGGGGUUUCCGCCCCUUAGUGCUGCAGCUAACGCAUUAAGCACUCCGCCUGGGGAGUACGGCCGCAAAGGCUG
RNAcentral lists this ribosomal RNA (375 nucleotides) under uncultured organism. RNAcentral's name for it is "partial 16S ribosomal RNA". It matches the Rfam family "Bacterial small subunit ribosomal RNA", at positions 527 to 896 of the family's 1533-position model. The record is from RNAcentral.